UAGCCUAGUGGUUAAGGCUAUGGAUCGCCAAUCCGGAGACGGCGGGUUCGUUUCCCGU
This is a non-coding RNA of Aedes albopictus (Asian tiger mosquito), 58 nucleotides long. NCBI's taxonomy places the organism in Eukaryota, Metazoa, Arthropoda, Insecta, Diptera, Culicidae. The record is from Rfam.